GACGAACGCUGGCGGCGUGCUUAACACAUGCAAGUCGAACGGAAAGGCCCUGCUUUUGUGGGGUGCUCGAGUGGCGAACGGGUGAGUAACACGUGAGUAACCUGCCCUUGACUUUGGGAUAACUUCAGGAAACUGGGGCUAAUACCGGAUAGGAGCUCCUGCUGCAUGGUGGGGGUUGGAAAGUUUCGGCGGUUGGGGAUGGACUCGCGGCUUAUCAACUUGUUGGUGGGGUAGUGGCUUACCAAGGCUUUGACGGGUAGCCGGCCUGAGAGGGUGACCGGCCACAUUGGGACUGAGAUACGGCCCAGACUCCUACGGGAGGCAGCAGUGGGGAAUAUUGCACAAUGGGCGGAAGCCUGAUGCAGCAACGCCGCGUGCGGGAUGACGGCCUUCGGGCUGUAAACCGCUUUCGCCUGUGACGAAGCGUGAGUGACGGUAAUGGGUAAAGAAGCACCGGCUAACUACGU
RNAcentral lists this ribosomal RNA (467 nucleotides) under uncultured bacterium. Its description in RNAcentral is "partial 16S ribosomal RNA". It matches the Rfam family "Bacterial small subunit ribosomal RNA", at positions 28 to 506 of the family's 1533-position model. The record is from RNAcentral.